CUGACUACAACUGAUUAAGUAAUAUGUUGCAAAGAGUUUUGAGGAGCAAAAAAAUGAAAAAAAAAUAUUGUGGAAAAAGAAAGAAAGAAUGAAAGAAAAAGAAAAAAGAAAUAAAAAAUGAGAAAAAGAAAAGGAGAAAUAAAUACUCAUUAGUUCUUUGAGCUUCAUAGAAAUUCCAAGUGCUUUCAAGAUUAAAGAUUAUUCCAUACUCAUUAUUCCAAUCAUAUGCUAUCCGAUUACAAUGACUUCAUUUGUACCUCGCGAUCACUCUUUGCCCUUGCAAAUAUCCACUAUCUAAAUGUGUGUGUUCAUUCUCUCCCUCUCCAUAAGCAAUUAUUUUUUAUAAACUUUUUGACAAGUCUCAGUAAAAUCC
This 373-nucleotide long non-coding RNA is filed under the name Setaria viridis. RNAcentral's name for it is "long non-coding RNA (SVIR_LNC008788)". Lineage: Eukaryota; Viridiplantae; Streptophyta; Magnoliopsida; Poales; Poaceae. The record is from RNAcentral.